AUGCUCACUUCAGCAGCAAAUAUACUAAAAUUGGAACAAUACAGAGAAGAUUAGCAUAACUCCUAUAUAAGGAUGACACGGAAAUUUGUGUAGCAGUCCAUAAUUUU
This 107-nucleotide small nuclear RNA is filed under the name Dasypus novemcinctus (nine-banded armadillo). The record is from RNAcentral. Lineage: Eukaryota; Metazoa; Chordata; Mammalia; Cingulata; Dasypodidae.